Molecule: ribosomal RNA, 503 nt
Filed under: uncultured bacterium
Lineage: Bacteria
Description: partial 16S ribosomal RNA
Rfam family: Bacterial small subunit ribosomal RNA
Source: RNAcentral
AUUGAACGCUGGCGGCAGGCUUAACACAUGCAAGUCGAGCGGGGUGAUGGUGCUUGCACUAUCACUUAGCGGCGGACGGGUGAGUAAUGCUUAGGAAUCUGCCUAUUAGUGGGGGACAACAUCUCGAAAGGGAUGCUAAUACCGCAUACGUCCUACGGGAGAAAGCAGGGGAUCACUUGUGACCUUGCGCUAAUAGAUGAGCCUAAGUCGGAUUAGCUAGCUGGUGGGGUAAAGGCCUACCAAGGCGGCGAUCUGUAGCGGGUCUGAGAGGAUGAUCCGCCACACUGGGACGGAGACACGGCCCAGACUCCUACGGGAGGCAGCAGUGGGGAAUAUUGGACAAUGGGGGGAACCCUGAUCUAGCCAUGCCGCGUGUGUGAAGAAGGCCUUAUGGUUGUAAAGCACUUUAAGCGAGGAGGAGGCUCUUUUGGUUAAUACCCAAGAUGAGUGGACGUUACUCGCAGAAUAAGCACCGGCUAACUCUGUGCCAGCCGCCGCCGUAA